This 31-nucleotide non-coding RNA is filed under the name Mus musculus (house mouse). Lineage: Eukaryota; Metazoa; Chordata; Mammalia; Rodentia; Muridae. The record is from RNAcentral.
UAGGAUACUGUGAAAAGAAGGGCGAAGAUGU